UACGUAGGGGGCAAGCGUUGUCCGGAAUUAUUGGGCGUAAAGCGCGUGUAGUCGGUCCGGUAAGUCAGCUGUGAAAGUCAAGGGCUCAACCCUUGAAAGCCGGUUGAUACUGUCGGGCUAGAGUCCGGAAGAGGCGAGUGGAAUUCCCGGUGUAGCGGUGAAAUGCGCAGAUAUCGGGAGGAACACCAAUGGCGAAGGCAGCUCGCUGGGACGGUACUGACGCUGAGACGCGAAAGCGUGGGGAGCAAACAGG
This 253-nucleotide ribosomal RNA is filed under the name uncultured bacterium. RNAcentral describes it as "partial 16S ribosomal RNA". It matches the Rfam family "Bacterial small subunit ribosomal RNA", at positions 524 to 776 of the family's 1533-position model. The record is from RNAcentral.